GCACUGAUGGUUCAGUGGUAGAAUUCUCAACUUCCAUGUGGGAGACUCUGGCUCAAUUCUGGGGCAGUGCA
RNAcentral lists this transfer RNA (71 nucleotides) under Loxodonta africana (African savanna elephant). It matches the Rfam family "tRNA". Rfam says of the family: Transfer RNA (tRNA) molecules are approximately 80 nucleotides in length. Their secondary structure includes four short double-helical elements and three loops (D, anti-codon, and T loops). Further hydrogen bonds mediate the characteristic L-shaped molecular structure. tRNAs have two regions of fundamental functional importance: the anti-codon, which is responsible for specific mRNA codon recognition, and the 3' end, to which the tRNAs corresponding amino acid is attached (by aminoacyl-tRNA synthetases). tRNAs cope with the degeneracy of the genetic code in two manners: having more than one tRNA (with a specific anti-codon) for a particular amino acid; and 'wobble' base-pairing, i.e. permitting non-standard base-pairing at the 3rd anti-codon position. The record is from Rfam by way of RNAcentral. Lineage: Eukaryota; Metazoa; Chordata; Mammalia; Proboscidea; Elephantidae.